UUGGCUUUUCUUCGGCUCCUCCGCGAUUGACGGAACUUCACUGAAGAUGUCUAAGCAACAACCAACUCAGUUUAUAAAUCCAGAAACACCUGGCUAUGUUGGAUUUGCAAAUCUUCCUAACCAAGUUCACCGAAAAUCAGUGAAAAAAGGUUUUGAGUUCACACUAAUGGUGGUCGGUGAAUCGGGGCUAGGAAAAUCGACUCUUAUAAACAGCCUGUUCUUGACGGAUCUUUACCCAGAAAGAAUCAUACCUGGAGCUGCAGAGAAAAUUGAAAGAACAGUCCAAAUUGAGGCUUCUACUGUUGAGAUUGAAGAGCGAGGGGUCAAGCUGCGCCUGACGGUGGUGGACACACCCGGCUAUGGUGAUGCCAUCAACUGCAGGGAUUGCUUCAAGACCAUCAUCUCCUACAUUGACGAGCAGUUCGAGCGGUACCUACAUGAUGAGAGCGGCCUCAACCGACGGCACAUCGUGGACAACAGGGUACACUGCUGCUUCUAUUUCAUCUCGCCCUUUGGACAUGGACUUAAGCCCUUAGAUGUCGCGUUUAUGAAGGCGAUACACAACAAGGUCAAUAUUGUGCCUGUCAUUGCGAAAGCUGAUACCCUCACUCUGAAGGAACGGGAACGUUUGAAGAAAAGGAUUCUGGAUGAAAUUGAAGAACAUAACAUCAAAAUCUAUCACUUACCUGAUGCAGAAUCAGAUGAAGAUGAAGAUUUUAAAGAGCAGACCAGACUUCUCAAGGCCAGUAUCCCGUUCUCUGUGGUUGGAUCCAAUCAGCUGAUAGAAGCCAAAGGCAAGAAGGUCCGAGGCCGCCUCUAUCCGUGGGGUGUCGUGGAAGUGGAGAACCCAGAACACAACGACUUUCUGAAGCUGAGGACAAUGCUCAUCACUCACAUGCAGGACCUCCAGGAGGUGACCCAGGACCUUCACUAUGAGAACUUCCGUUCUGAGAGGCUCAAAAGGGGCGGCAGAAAGGUGGAAAAUGAGGACAUGAAUAAAGAUCAGAUCUUGCUGGAAAAGGAAGCUGAGCUCCGCCGCAUGCAGGAGAUGAUCGCCAGGAUGCAGGCACAGAUGCAGCUGCAGAUGCAGGGCGGAGACGGUGACGGCGCAGUUCACGGGCACCACGUGUGAGAAAACGUUUUGCAAGAUAAAGAAAGUAUUCCAAAUGAGAAAUACAGCUCUGUGUUUUCAAGAAAUUGUUGGAGAAGUGAGCAUUCACACUUUACAGUGCCUGUGGCCCAAGAAUUUAAUUUUUUAAAAAAUUGUUGAUGUGUUCUUUUGUAUGAAGUACUUUUAACAUUUAUAUUCAUUACUAGAGGGUAGACUUUAUAUUUUGUGAGUGAACUUUGCAUUUUCAUUUUCUUUCACCUUAACUAACCACUAAUGUUAGAUUUCAUUUCCAGGGAUCAGUCGGCAUGUAUGUUAAAAUGAUUUGACUGGCCUAACCAACUAGUCAUGGAGGAGCACUCUUGAUUAGUUAUUUACCCCAAAUAUUCUGAGUGGUAGAGAUAUGCAUCUAAUGACAUAGAAGGUACCCGGCCAUUUACUUACCUGGAGCACCAUGUGGAGAUUCUUCCCUGCCUUCCUUUCUGUUUGAUCACAAUACCCAAGACCAGUUUUGCUGCUACAAUACAAUACCGUUAAUUCAUCUGCACAUUCAUCUGUUUACCAAAUGAAAAAUAAUUAUGUAAUGAGAUAUAUGCUUAUACUUAAGUAGCUUUCUUUUAAAAACAGGCUUUUAGGGGUAAAUUUUAGAAAUUUCUACAUUCUUAUACUAGGUCAUUUUUUAAACCACUGGGCAGGGAGAACUUGUUACAGCCACUUUUUAUAGUGUUUUCCACUAAUACUGGUUAUACUCGGCUAUGGAAAAAGUCAGAGUAUCCAUGAGCUCCAGUUUUCAUAUUGCAACUAAGAUUCUUAUCAACACAAUGAAAGUCAAUAAACUAUUUUUACUCCACUAAGUCAACUUUUUAAAGAAAAUUAGCAGUUGAUCUGUUCAGAAACUGACCUUUUGUAUUUUUAUACUGCACUUUAAUAUAUUUCUGUAACUAAAGGUGUAGAAGAUCUGCCUCAGGAGUGGAAAUGGGGUCCUUUGGUGGGUGCCAAAACCAGAUUUGGCUUUCCUUUAAUUCUUUUUUGAAUGGUUUUCUGAAGAGAGGCAAAUCGCAGUAGUUAUUAUUUUUUUUAUGUGUGUGUGGACUGUGUUGCCUAUUUUUAGCCAUCGUCAUUUCCUUCGUUACGUGUAAUACAAAUUGCUCCAUGUAUCAUGUAAGAAUGAAAAACACUUCAAAACUACACCAUGGGCCAUUUGCAGGUACUGCCAGUCAAAGCCGCUCCUGGUGGGUUCUCUGUGCUCUGUGGCCUUGGCCCUUCCGUUCCCUCCUGGAAUGUCUUCAUCCUCCACUGUGGCACUCACGCUCUGCACUCCCAGGGUGCUGAUGCUCCAAGGCCUGCUUUUAUUCAACAUUUCUACUGAAGUUGAAAAAGAAAGUGACAGAUGAAAGGAGACCUGGAGGGAGCAGGUGCUGGUUCACUAUUUUCAUUUUGCUAUAACAGGAGGGGUUAAAAUAGAGAAAAUGCUUAAUCUGAGAAUGAAGAGGGUUUUUUGGUUUUGGUCAAAAAAUAACAUGAGGUCAAAAUAUGUUAGUUACAAAAGUGUACUACAGAAAAUAAUACGGUAUUUUUGCUAACUUGGCCCCUCACUGUUAACUAUUGUGAAUGGUCAAAACCUUUAGGUUUAGGCAUAUUUUGCAAAGUUUUCAACAAGAAAAGGUGUUCCAUAACUUGAGAGUACCAUCAAGGCCAAUUACUUGGGUUAUUUUGGUACUUAACUGCUAAUAAAAGCUGUUUAAAGGGAGGCAGGGGGACAUUUGCAAGUGAUCUGUGUAAGCUUGUGUGUGUUUGAGUAAAACCAUUCGGGGCUGACUGCACCUAGUAAUGGUUAUGUGAGAUGGGUGGACCUACACCUUUAUACUUUUAAAUCUUUUUUUUUCCCAUUGCUCAAACUGAAAUAGUUUUGCUACUAGAUAACUGUUCUUUUACUAAGCCAUACUCUUUACCUAUAGAAUUGUUAUUUUGAAAAAAUUUUACACAGCCAUUUUGUAUCCAUUGAAAGUAACCUUUCAUCAAUAAAGCACUAUUGUUUAGAGGU
Molecule: RNA transcript, 3152 nt
Organism: Myotis brandtii (Brandt's bat)
Lineage: Eukaryota; Metazoa; Chordata; Mammalia; Chiroptera; Vespertilionidae
Gene: SEPTIN2
Gene name: septin 2
Exons: 13
Source: RefSeq, a predicted model, not a curated record